UACGUAGGGUGCGAGCGUUGUCCGGAAUUAUUGGGCGUAAAGGGCUCGUAGGCGGUUUGUCGCGUCGGGAGUGAAAUCAUCUGGCUUAACUGGGUGCUUGCUUUCGAUACGGGCAGACUAGAGGUAUGCAGGGGAGAACGGAAUUCCUGGUGUAGCGGUGAAAUGCGCAGAUAUCAGGAGGAACACCGGUGGCGAAGGCGGUUCUCUGGGCAUGAUCUGACGCUGAGGAGCGAAAGCGUGGGGAGCGAACAGG
This 253-nucleotide ribosomal RNA is filed under the name uncultured bacterium. RNAcentral's name for it is "partial 16S ribosomal RNA". It matches the Rfam family "Bacterial small subunit ribosomal RNA", at positions 524 to 776 of the family's 1533-position model. The record is from RNAcentral.